Molecule: ribosomal RNA, 447 nt
Filed under: uncultured bacterium
Lineage: Bacteria
Description: partial 16S ribosomal RNA
Rfam family: Bacterial small subunit ribosomal RNA
Source: RNAcentral
AACGAACGCUGGCGGCAGGCCUAACACAUGCAAGUCGAACGCCCCGCAAGGGGAGUGGCGCACGGGUGAGUAAUGCGUGGGAACGUACCCAGCAGUACGGAAUAACCCAGGGAAACCUGGGCUAAUACCGUAUACGUCCUAAGGGAGAAAGAUUUAUCGCUGUUGGAGCGGCCCACGUCGGAUUAGCUAGUUGGUGAGGUAACGGCCCACCAAGGCUACGAUCCGUAGCUGGUCUGAGAGGACGACCAGCCACACUGGGACUGAGACACGGCCCAGACUCCUACGGGAGGCAGCAGUGGGGAAUAUUGGACAAUGGGGGCAACCCUGAUCCAGCCAUGCCGCGUGAGUGAUGAAGGCCUUAGGGUUGUAAAGCUCUUUCGACGGGGACGAUAAUGACGGUACCCGUAGAAGAAGCCCCGGCUAACUCCGUGCCAGCAGCCGCCGUAA